UGUAGCAAGGUUAACCGUAUAGGGGAGCCGAAGGGAAACCGAGUCUUAACUGGGCGUUAAGUUGCAGGGUAUAGACCCGAAACCCGGUGAUCUAGCCAUGGGCAGGUUGAAGGUUGGGUAACACUAACUGGAGGACCGAACCGACUAAUGUUGAAAAAUUAGCGGAUGACCUGUGGCUGGGGGUGAAAGGCCAAUCAAACCGGGAGAUAGCUGGUUCUCCCCGAAAGCUAUUUAGGUAGCGCCUCGUGAACUCAUCUUCGGGGGUAGAGCACUGUUUCGGCUAGGGGGCCAUCCCGGCUUACCAACCCGAUGCAAACUACGAAUACCGAAGAAUGUUAUCACGGGAGACACACGGCGGGUGCUAACGUCCGUCGUGAAGAGGGAAACAACCCAGACCGCCAGCUAAGGUCCCAAAGUCAUGGUUAAGUGGGAAACGAUGUGGGAAGGCACAGACAGCCAGGAUGUUGGCUUAGAAGCAGCCAUCAUUUAAAGAAAGCGUAAUAGCUCACUGGUCGAGUCGGCCUGCGCGGAAGAUGUAACGGGGCUAAACCAUGCACCGAAGCUGCGGCAGCGACACUAUGUGUUGUUGGGUAGGGGAGCGUUCUGUAAGCCGUUGAAGGUGUGCUGUGAGGCAUGCUGGAGGUAUCAGAAGUGCGAAUGCUGACAUAAGUAACGAUAAAGCGGGUGAAAAGCCCGCUCGCCGGAAGACCAAGGGUUCCUGUCCAACGUUAAUCGGGGCAGGGUGAGUCGACCCCUAAGGCGAGGCCGAAAGGCGUAGUCGAUGGGAAACAGGUUAAUAUUCCUGUACUUGGUGUUACUGCGAAGGGGGGACGGAGAAGGCUAUGUCAGCCGGGCGACGGUUGUCCCGGUUUAAGCAUGUAGGCGGAGGUUCCAGGUAAAUCCGGUACCUUUUAACGCUGAGGUGUGAUGACGAGGCACUACGGUGCUGAAGUGAUAAAUGCCCUGCUUCCAGGAAAAGCCUCUAAGCAUCAGGUAACACGAAAUCGUACCCCAAACCGACACAGGUGGUCAGGUAGAGAAUACCAAGGCGCUUGAGAGAACUCGGGUGAAGGAACUAGGCAAAAUGGUGCCGUAACUUCGGGAGAAGGCACGCUGAUAKGUAGGUGAAGUCCCUGCGGACGGAGCUGAAAUCAGUCGAAGAUACCAGCUGGCUGCAACUGUUUAUUAAAAACACAGCACUGUGCAAACACGAAAGUGGACGUAUACGGUGUGACGCCUGCCCGGUGCCGGAAGGUUAAUUGAUGGGGUUAGCGGCAACGCGAAGCUCUUGAUCGAAGCCCCGGUAAACGGCGGCCGUAACUAUAACGGUCCUAAGGUAGCGAAAUUCCUUGUCGGGUAAGUUCCGACCUGCACGAAUGGCGUAAUGAUGGCCAGGCUGUCUCCACCCGAGACUCAGUGAAAUUGAACUCGCUGUGAAGAUGCAGUGUACCCGCGGCAAGACGGAAAGACCCCGUGAACCUUUACUAUAGCUUGACACUGAACACUGGUCCUUGAUGUGUAGGAUAGGUGGGAGGCUUUGAAGCGUGGACGCCAGUCYGCGUGGAGCCRYCCUUGAAAUACCACCCUUUAAUGGCUGGUGUUCUAACGUAGACCCGURAUCCGGGUUGCGGACAGUGUCUGGUGGGUAGUUUGACUGGGGCGGUCUCCUCCCAAAGAGUAACGGAGGAGCACGAAGGUUGGCUAAUCCUGGUCGGACAUCAGGAGGUUAGUGCAAUGGCAUAAGCCAGCUUGACUGCGAGCGUGACGGCGCGAGCAGGUGCGAAAGCAGGUCAUAGUGAUCCGGUGGUUCUGAAUGGAAGGGCCAUCGCUCAACGGAUAAAAGGUACUCCGGGGAUAACAGGCUGAUACCGCCCAAGAGUUCAUAUCGACGGCGGUGUUUGGCACCUCGAUGUCGGCUCAUCACAUCCUGGGGCUGAAGUAGGUCCCAAGGGUAUGGCUGUUCGCCAUUUAAAGUGGUACGCGAGCUGGGUUUAGAACGUCGUGAGACAGUUCGGUCCCUAUCUGCCGUGGGCGCUGGAGAAUUGAGGGGGGCUGCUCCUAGUACGAGAGGACCGGAGUGGACGCAUCACUGGUGUUCGGGUUGUCAUGCCAAUGGCACUGCCCGGUAGCUAAAUGCGGAAGAGAUAAGUGCUGAAAGCAUCUAAGCACGAAACUUGCCCCGAGAUGAGUUCUCCCUGAGACUUUAAGUCUCCUGAAGGAACGUUGAAGACGACGACGUUGAUAGGUCGGGUGUGUAAGCGCAGCGAUGCGUUGAGCUAACCGAUACUAAUGAACCGUGAGGCUUAACCUU
RNAcentral lists this ribosomal RNA (2311 nucleotides) under Enterobacter hormaechei. RNAcentral's name for it is "partial 23S ribosomal RNA". The record is from RNAcentral. Lineage: Bacteria; Pseudomonadati; Pseudomonadota; Gammaproteobacteria; Enterobacterales; Enterobacteriaceae.